AAUAUUGCGCAAUGGGGGAAACCCUGACGCAGCGACGCCGCGUGAGCGACGAAGGCCUUCGGGUCGUAAAGCUCUGUCAUAAGGGACGAAGUCCCCUUUAUGGGGGUGACGGUACCUUAAGAGGAAGCCCCGGCUAACUACGUGCCAGCAGCCGCGGUAAUACGUAGGGGGCGAGCGUUGUCCGGGAUUACUGGGCGUAAAGGGCGUGUAGGCGGUCGGCUAAGUCAGGUGUGAAAGACCGGGGCUCAACUCCGGGGAUGCACUUGAAACUGGUCGACUUGAGGGCAAGAGAGGGAAGCGGAAUUCCCAGUGUAGCGGUGAAAUGCGUAGAUAUUGGGAGGGACACCAGUGGCGAAGGCGGCUUCCUGGCUUGGCCCUGACGCUGAGGCGCGAAAGCGUGGGGAGCAAACAGG
This 413-nucleotide ribosomal RNA is filed under the name uncultured bacterium. RNAcentral's name for it is "partial 16S ribosomal RNA". It matches the Rfam family "Bacterial small subunit ribosomal RNA", at positions 360 to 776 of the family's 1533-position model. The record is from RNAcentral.